Oncorhynchus mykiss (rainbow trout) is the source of this 626-nucleotide non-coding RNA. NCBI's taxonomy places the organism in Eukaryota, Metazoa, Chordata, Actinopteri, Salmoniformes, Salmonidae. The record is from RefSeq and is a predicted model, not a curated record.
AGUGCAAGUCGGCUUGGUUGUCAAACAGUAACACUAUCGCUUCCGUCCAGACUUUGAGCAGGAAGAUUCGAGGACCUAUGGUUCUUGGAAUGUGGACAACGCAGAAAGAGGGCGUGCUGCUCUGCUGGCCUCAUUCUCAGUACCAGGGGAGCGGCAGACUGUCACAGAUCUGAGGGACAUGGCACUGGAGCGACUGCUGACACCAGUUGCACCGGCAACUGAUCACCUGUACACGUUCUCAAUGGGCUUGACCCCACAGUGACCCACAUCCACACAGUGCCACAUGCCCGUUCGGCUGGACAUGGCAAAACACAGCCCUGCCCAGUUCCAGCUCCACCAGGGCCACGGGAAUGUUGGCGGCACCCCCUCUGCUGGCUGAGGUCUGGAGGUCCACUCUCCAGGUGAGGCCCUUCAGGCCGGGCUCCCAGCGGCUCUGGCCCAGCAGGCUCUCCCUCACCCGGGCCCGAUGGCUCUUCCAGAACCGGGAGAGGGCGGCCGCCUGCUCGGCGCUCACACUCCCCGUGCCUUGCUUCCUGGUCUGGGCAGUCAGGAAGGCUUCCAGCUGGGCCUGGUCCAUGUUUGCAGCGGCAAUGGACUGAGAAGGGGAGAAGAAAACAAGCAGAGAU